RNAcentral lists this unclassified non-coding RNA (28 nucleotides) under Mus musculus (house mouse). RNAcentral describes it as "oocyte_clustered_small_RNA6486". Lineage: Eukaryota; Metazoa; Chordata; Mammalia; Rodentia; Muridae. The record is from RNAcentral.
UAGCUGGAGCUAAGAAAUUAGUUUGGAG